UACAGAGGUCCCAAGCGUUGUUCGGAUUCACUGGGCGUAAAGGGUGCGUAGGUGGUGAGGUAAGUCGGAUGUGAAAGCUCCGAGCUCAACUCGGAAAUGGCAUUGGAAACUACCUUGCUCGAGGGUUUGAGGGGGGACUGGAAUACUUGGUGUAGCAGUGAAAUGCGUAGAUAUUCGCAAGAACACCAGUGGCGAAGGCGGCUCACUGGCCCGAUACUGACGCUGAGGCACGAAAGCGUGGGGAGCAAACAGG
This 253-nucleotide ribosomal RNA is filed under the name uncultured bacterium. Its description in RNAcentral is "partial 16S ribosomal RNA". It matches the Rfam family "Bacterial small subunit ribosomal RNA", at positions 524 to 776 of the family's 1533-position model. The record is from RNAcentral.